AUGAAUGAGAUCAUGUUUUCUUUUGAGAAGGAAGGGGGUAAUAAUAGACCAAACCACUUCAUGCAAAGUUUCAGAGAUGUGGUAGCUGAAUGUAAUCUGUCGGACCAUGGUUUCAUCGGGGAUAAAUUCACAUGGCACCGAGCUCUUAGAGAACGUUUAGAUCGUGCGCUUGUAAAUGAAGGAUGGAAUGAAAUGUUUCCAGGAUCAGUCCUGGAGCAUCUUGACUAUUAUAAGUCGGAUCACAGGCCGAUCAUU
Molecule: ribosomal RNA, 255 nt
Filed under: Triticum aestivum (bread wheat)
Lineage: Eukaryota; Viridiplantae; Streptophyta; Magnoliopsida; Poales; Poaceae
Description: partial small subunit ribosomal RNA
Source: RNAcentral